GUUCCCUUAAAUCGUAAACGUAGGACAUUAAGAUUAAUUUUGAAAAAUUACGAAAUGAACCGUAUUUAUAAUAAAAAAACAUAUUUUAUCACUUGAGAAUAAUAUCAACCAGUUAAUAGCCGGCUACCAAUUAUCAGCUAAAAGAAAAAAAAAUACAUAUAAUACCAUAAAAAAAAUAAAUAGUAGUAAAUGCUUACUAAGAACGUAGUUUUUAUGAAUAUUUAAUUAACAUAGUUUAUAAUUUACAAAUAUUAUAGUUGAUACAAUGAGAUAGUUUUUGAUUAUUCAAGCAGUUCUCAUAAUAAUUGGGAGAAACAAAAAAUUACGUAUAAAUAAAUUUACGAUAUAUUAAUUUCAUUAGGUACAUUGUUUUUCUAUCAAAAAUUUUGUUCCGAAUUUCAAGAAAAGUUUCUUUUUUGAAAGACAAUUUUGUCUAGUUGGUGUAUUUGAAGAUCGUUUUGGGCUAUUUUAGGCAUUUGACAUUUUCGAGUUUUGUUUUUGUCUGUAUUUAUGCGGAUGAAAUUGCUUGCACAAACAUAAUAAGUUGAGAGUUAUUAAGCAGUUUUUUAAAAUCGUUCUAAGGUUAAAUUUUGACGAAAAUAGUAAAAUUGACGGCAUUUCUAAACAUGUAUAAUCGAACUUCGCUUUAAAAAUCAUUUUUCAUUAUAGCAAUGGUUUAUCGACGAUUGCAGAUACAAAUUGUGUAACAAUAUGUAUCCUAACUUUUUUUAAAUUGUUUACAUCAUAUAAAACUCGUUGCAGUUUCGAUCAUUUCCAUUAACAACGCAAUAUCGUAUUCGAGUAUUAUUAUUACUAUUUUUUUCAUUAUUCCAACU
Non-coding RNA from Cinara cedri, 836 nucleotides. The record is from the annotation of a GenBank genome assembly. Lineage: Eukaryota; Metazoa; Arthropoda; Insecta; Hemiptera; Aphididae.